This 430-nucleotide ribosomal RNA is filed under the name uncultured archaeon. Its description in RNAcentral is "bacterial SSU rRNA". It matches the Rfam family "Archaeal small subunit ribosomal RNA", at positions 474 to 903 of the family's 1478-position model. The record is from RNAcentral.
UACCUGCAGCUCAAGUAGUGAUCAUUAUUAUUGGGCCUAAAACGUCCGUAGCCGGUUUGGUAAAUAUCUGGGUAAAUCGUGUAGCUUAACUAUACGAAUUCCGGGUAGACUGCCAAACUUGAGACCGGGAGAGGCUAGAGGUACUCCUGGGGUAGAGGUGAAAUUCUGUAAUCCUGGGGGGACCACCAGUGGCGAAGGCGUCUAGCUAGAACGGGUCUGACGGUCAGGGACGAAGCCCUGGGGGCGCGAACCGGAUUAGAUACCCGGGUAGUCCAGGGUGUAACCGCUGCUUGCUUGAUGUUAGUUGGGCUCCGAGCCCAAUUAGUGUCGGAGAGAAGUUGUUAAGCAAGCUGCCUGGGAAGUACGAUCGCAAGAUUGAAACUUAAAGGAAUUGGCGGGGGAGCACAGCAACGGGUGGAGCGUGCGGUUU